CUAGCUUGCUAAUAAUUCUCUAGUGGCGCACGGGUGAGUAACACGUGAGUACCUGCCCCCAAGAGUGGGAUAGCCCCGGGAAACUGGGAUUAAUACCGCAUAAAGCAAUAAAGCAGCAAUGCGCUUGGGGAUGGGCUCGCGUCCUAUUAGUUAGUUGGUGAGGUAACGGCUCACCAAGGCGAUGACGGGUAGCCGGUCUGAGAGGAUGUCCGGCCACACUGGAACUGAGACACGGUCCAGACACCUACGGGUGGCAGCAGUCGAGAAUCAUUCACAAUGGGGGAAACCCUGAUGGUGCGACGCCGCGUGGGGGAUAAGGUCUUCGGAUUGUAAACCCCUGUCAUGUGGGACAUUAAAAGAUAGUACCACAAGAGGAAGAGACGGCUAACUCUGUGCCAGCAGCCGCGGUAAUACAGAGGUCUCAAGCGUUGUUCGGAAUCACUGGGCGUAAAGCGUGCGUAGGCGGUUUCGUAAGUCGUGUGUGAAAGGCGGGGGCUCAACCCCCGGACUGCACAUGAUACUGCGAGACUAGAGUAAUGGAGGGGGAACCGGAAUUCUCGGUGUAGCAGUGAAAUGCGUAGAUAUCGAGAGGAACACUCGUGGCGAAGGCGGGUUCCUGGACAUUAACUGACGCUGAGGCACGAAGGCCAGGGGAGCGAAAGGGA
Molecule: ribosomal RNA, 665 nt
Filed under: uncultured bacterium
Lineage: Bacteria
Description: bacterial SSU rRNA
Rfam family: Bacterial small subunit ribosomal RNA
Source: RNAcentral